This is a transfer RNA of Smittium culicis, 87 nucleotides long. It matches the Rfam family "tRNA". Rfam says of the family: Transfer RNA (tRNA) molecules are approximately 80 nucleotides in length. Their secondary structure includes four short double-helical elements and three loops (D, anti-codon, and T loops). Lineage: Eukaryota; Fungi; Kickxellomycota; Harpellomycetes; Harpellales; Legeriomycetaceae. The record is from Rfam.
GGGUAGAUGACUGAGAGGUUUAAGGUAUUUCGCUUGAAACGAAAAAAGGUUUUUUUAUCUUCAUGGGUUCAAAUCCCAUUCUGCCCG